This is a long non-coding RNA of Herpailurus yagouaroundi (jaguarundi), 475 nucleotides long. RefSeq lists it as uncharacterized. Lineage: Eukaryota; Metazoa; Chordata; Mammalia; Carnivora; Felidae. The transcript is spliced from 4 exons. The record is from RefSeq and is a predicted model, not a curated record.
UCAUUUUAUACACUGGCACGGAUGUUGACUACAGUACAGUAUUAAUAAACUUGUCAUCUACUGUGUUUAGUGUAACUGGCAAUAAAGCAGCAGAGGGAAAGGUCUGUAUCUGCAGGCAGCCUGACCUAGAAUGGAGCAAAGCAUUCCUAAGCUUACUCUUGAAUGGAAAAGCAAGGGGCUGUCCAUGUGCUUUGAAGUGACAAAAAAUACACUAGUGCCAGCUGUGGGCACCUUCCAACGUUCUGAAAAAUCACUGAUUUCUGACAACACUGUGGCCUGAGACCGGGCACCUGAGCAUGGGAGAUAAUCACCCCCAAUCCCGCAGAGAGAGAGAGAGAAGAACCAUUGGCUCAGUUGUGAUCAUAUGACAUUCAGCAUCAUGUACCACUCGUAUUGCAAGACAUCGCUCAUUUAUGAAGUUAAAACUUAUUAGAAAUGUUUGCUCAGAACAAGCUACUCGGGAUCCACUGAAGAU